Long non-coding RNA from Aphidius gifuensis, 328 nucleotides. RefSeq lists it as uncharacterized. The record is from RefSeq and is a predicted model, not a curated record. Lineage: Eukaryota; Metazoa; Arthropoda; Insecta; Hymenoptera; Braconidae. The transcript is spliced from 2 exons.
AAUAUGAUUUUAUUUCUGUAGAAUAAACAAGAAGUAAUAAUGAAACGAAAUAAAGAUUAAAUUUAUUUUUGUUUAUGAGAAUGAGAUUGUGUGUAUGUAUGUGAGUAUGGUGUGAUCGGAUGAUGUUGAUGCAUGGUGUAACCGAAAUAUUUUUCUGGGAAUAAAUGACGAAUGCUGGAAGUGAGAUUAAGACGAAGGAAUAAAGAAUUAAUAUUAUGUCGAUAUAUAAUUUUGUGUGUUAGUCUAAUUGGGACUCUUGUCUGGUACACAUAAGCAUUGACACGAUCUCCCUAUACGUAGCUUUUGAUUAAAGAAAAUAAUUAAUUAA